RNAcentral lists this ribosomal RNA (501 nucleotides) under earthworm burrow bacterium B33M1. RNAcentral describes it as "bacterial SSU rRNA". It matches the Rfam family "Bacterial small subunit ribosomal RNA", at positions 58 to 570 of the family's 1533-position model. The record is from RNAcentral.
CAAGUCGAACGGUGACGAUCAAGCUUGCUUGGUCUGAUCAGUGGCGAACGGGUGAGUAACACGUGAGUAACCUGCCCCUGACUCUGGGAUAACCCCGGGAAACCGGAGCUAAUACCGGAUAUGACGCGCCCUCGCAUGGGGAGCGUGUGGAAAGUUUUUCGGUCUGGGAUGGACUCGCGGCCUAUCAGCUUGUUGGUGAGGUAAUGGCUCACCAAGGCGACGACGGGUAGCCGGCCUGAGAGGGCGACCGGCCACACUGGGACUGAGACACGGCCCAGACUCCUACGGGAGGCAGCAGUGGGGAAUAUUGCACAAUGGGCGAAAGCCUGAUGCAGCGACGCCGCGUGAGGGAUGACGGCCUUCGGGUUGUAAACCUCUUUCAGCAGGGAAGAAGCGCAAGUGACGGUACCUGCAGAAGAAGCACCGGCUAACUACGUGCCAGCAGCCGCGGUAAUACGUAGGGUGCGAGCGUUGUCCGGAAUUAUUGGGCGUAAAGAGCUU